This 244-nucleotide ribosomal RNA is filed under the name uncultured bacterium. RNAcentral describes it as "partial small subunit ribosomal RNA". It matches the Rfam family "Bacterial small subunit ribosomal RNA", at positions 26 to 285 of the family's 1533-position model. The record is from RNAcentral.
AGAAUCAACGCUGGCGGCGUGCCUAACACAUGCAAGUCGCACGAGAAAGGGACUUCGGUCCUGAGUAAAGUGGCGCACGGGUGAGUAACACGUGAAUAAUCUACCUCCGAGUGGGGAAUAACUGAGAGAAAUCUUAGCUAAUACCGCAUAACACUUACGAGUCAAAGCAGCAAUGCGCUUGGAGAGGAGUUCGCGGCAGAUUAGUUAGUUGGCGGGUAAUGGCCCACCAAGACUAUGAUCGGUA